CGCCUACGGGAGGCAGCAGUCGAGAAUCAUUCACAAUGGGGGAAACCCUGAUGGUGCGACGCCGCGUGGGGGAAUGAAGGUCUUCGGAUUGUAAACCCCUGUCAUGUGGGAGCAAAUUAAAAAGAUAGUACCACAAGAGGAAGAGACGGCUAACUCUGUGCCAGCGGCCGCGGUAAUACAGAGGUCUCAAGUGUUGUUCGGAAUCGCUGGGCGUAAAACGGGCGUAGGCUGUUUCGUAAGUCGUGUGUGACAGGCGCGGGCUCAACGCGCGUGCGG
This 276-nucleotide ribosomal RNA is filed under the name uncultured bacterium. RNAcentral's name for it is "partial 16S ribosomal RNA". It matches the Rfam family "Bacterial small subunit ribosomal RNA", at positions 336 to 623 of the family's 1533-position model. The record is from RNAcentral.